Molecule: long non-coding RNA, 3215 nt
Filed under: Marmota monax (woodchuck)
Lineage: Eukaryota; Metazoa; Chordata; Mammalia; Rodentia; Sciuridae
Source: RNAcentral
GGGAAGUUUCCAUAUGCUGAGGAGUUUCUGAAAGGACUUGAAGCCAACUGCUCUCUUCUGGACAGUGCUUGUUCCUUGACGAUUGGAUAGGUCUCAAGUGGCCCAUAAAAAUUUUACUACAUUUUGUCCACCCGUGGAUACUGUGACCUAAGGUGACCCAAUCAGAAAUCUGCUUUGGCAAUGUUUUCAGAGAGGACUGGAACGACCUGGGUCGCAGCCGAAUUGACAGUGUUUGCUUUAAUCAGGGAUGAUGGCUUCUGGUGGGAGUCGGAGGCAGGUGGUGCAGGGAGCCGUGAACUUUGUCACAGAGCAGUGACUUCUGUAAAAUUCACAGCAGUUCCUUCCAAUUCUGUCUGGAUGAGCAGGAGGGACUACAAAUGUGUCCAAUGGGCUGCAAGUAAUGAUGGGAAUGGAGUCUUAUUUCAACCCUGAACUCAUGGGAGGGAAGCCCAUAUGGGUGGAAUGUGGAUUGUUUGAGUUGUUCCUUUUAUUUUAAUAACACAGAUUAAAAAAAUGGAAAUAAAUGAAAAAAUACAGCCUGUUUUCUGUUGAUUUAACAGAAGUUCAGAGACGAGGUAAUUUGUUUAAAAAAUAAAACAUAACAGAUUUCUUUUGGCUCACGUUUCCGGAGGAUGGGAGGAUGAAGAUCAAGGGGUGGCCAUAUCUGAAGGCUUCAUGCUGCUCCAGGGAUGGGGGAAGAAGGAGGGCAAGAGGGCACCUGCGAAAGAGAGAAAGGGGCCAAGCUCCCGCUGUGACUAACUCAUUCCUGUGGGAAAAGCAUUGAUCCAUUCGUGAGGGCUCCAGCCCCAUGACCAGACGCCUCCCACCAGCCCACUCCUCCCAGCUCUGCUGCCUCCAGGACUUAACCCUCAAGGUGAGUUUUAGUGUGAACAAACCAUGUUCACACCAUAGCCCAGGACCCUAUUUUCCAGCCACUUACAAUUAAUCUAUUGGAGAAUGCGUCUUCUCAACUGUCAUUGAAACUACUGUGGUUAUAUAAGGUGUCCUCAAGGAACAGAGGGUCCAUGGAAAAAUGCCUAGCUUCCAAAAUGAUGGUUAACUCUGAAGUCUCCAAAAUCCUUGAAAUUUCUCUUGAUGUUUCUAAAUAUGAUAUGGUAUUGAGUUCCCCUGAAUUAUUCUACUCUUGAUUCAAUCCUGGGAUGCCUCUGAGCCAGUAUUUUAUGGUCCUUUUUUUUUUUUUAAAUGACUGCUCUGCUAUUAUUUAAUCAACCACUUUAAAGACCAUACUUCUUAACACUUUGUCCAUUUCAUGAUAAUCUGUCAGAUGAGGCUCAGGAGUCACAGUCACAUUGUCCAGACAGUGGCUGGCAAUAGUAACACCAUCUUUUUAAAAAUUUAUUUAUUUAUAUAUGACAGUGGAAUGCAUUACAAUUCUUAUUACACAUAUAGAGCACAAUUUUUCAUAUCUCUGGUUGUAUAAGUAACACCAUCUUGAUGAAUUCUGCCUGAUUUUAGGCGGAUCUACAUGACCUUGAUAGAAAUGGAAGUAAAUUAAAAAUUUUGUGAUUUUGAUGAUACUAUAUUAGGUCUAUUUCAAAGUGCUAAAAGCACCUAGCAGAUGUGAUAGUAUUUGAAGUAACAAGGAAAUCUCUUCCAUGCACCCCCACCAUGCAGGGAACCCUGUGAAUUCUGACUGAUAUUGAUUCUACAGAGAGCAAGUCCACAAAACAGCUCUGACUGCUCGGUGGUGACUCUGCUUGUUUCUGAUUCCACCAGUUUGCAGAGCAGUGUCUUUAGCAGUCUGGCUCGGUCGUCUAAGAUCUGGCUUUAUUCAAGUUCCUCUAUCCUAUGAGCAAAGUUAGACUGGUGACUGAAUCAAAAUUCACAAAAGUCAAAGACAAAACAGCCACCAGAAAUUACUAAUGUGAAGCUUUGAUUUGGUCUGUCUUCUUGGCAUUUGAGUGAGUGACCCUGGGAACAGUUGUUCCUACCAUUGUGAAAUUCUGACCCUCCCUUUCAAUUGUUUGAUUUGAUGACAUUUCUUCUAUUUCUAAAAGUGCAUAUAUAUAUGCUGAGAGCCACGGCCGAGUCUGUAUGGCCCCUGGCAUUUUGCCAACAGUAUUGGGGCCAUACAGACUCGGCCGUUGCUCUCAGUAUAUAUAUAUAUAUAUAAUAUAUAUAUAUCUCAUAAGUGCACAUGUGUGUGUUUCAGUUUAAGAAAUAUUGAUUUCAUUUUCUUUUGAAAAUAUCUUAUUGGUUUUUCUAGAUCACUUAAACAAUUUGGAGAUACUAUGGGUUUUAGAAAGCCAGUGUUGGAGAGCAGCCAUUCCAGAUGAAUCAGCUGCAAACCCAUCCCGGAGUGUGGGGAACAACAGGAGACACUCAAGGACAUUUGCUUGGCUGCAGUGAGUGAGAAGCUGAGAUUCAGAGGAUGAGGCUGUGCAGCAUGUGGAAUCCCACCUUGAUAUUUUAAUGGUCCUGCUGUGAGCCUUAGCAGACAUCUUCCUGGCCACCCAAAAGAGGUUGUUUGUGGUCCCAUCUUGGAGAAUAUCUUCCCCUGUUGGAACUCUGGACUUCCAGUGGGCGUAUGACUGCCUGGAAUUAAGACUGCAUUUCCUUGCUUAAAGGACCAAUUGGUCAGGACAUAAACAAGAGGAAUGAAACACUCUGUCUUAGUCCACUUUCUGUUGCUCAUGAGACAUUAUCAUAGAAUGGGUACAUUAUAAGAGAAGAAGUUUAUUUUAACUCAUGAUUCUAAGGUGGAGGGGCCACAUCUGGUAAUGGCCUUGGUGGCAGAGUCCCAAGACAGCUCAGGGUUUACAUGGUGACAGACAGGAAGCAUGGGAGAAACCUAGCCAAACUGGCUUUUAUAGCAGACCUACUCUGGAGAUAACCCCUUAACACAGUAGUCACAUGGAUGGAUUAAUGUAUUCAGAGCUCGAGUGACCUCUUCAAUGUGCCAGCUCUUAGCAUCUCAUAGUAAGGAUUAAAUUUCCACAUGAGUUUUGGAGAGGACACACCAUACUGAAAUCAUAGCCCCAUCCUUUGACUCCCCAUCGUCUCCUCUCACUUCCUCAACCUGCUCUUUGGAAUGUGGAUGUGAUCAUUGGUGUUCCAUUUUGGCCAUAAGGAUGAGAGCCAUGCCCUAGAAAUGGAAGAGUAGAAAACCAGGAAGCAACCUGGACCCUAGGUGAUAUUGGAGAAGCCAGAUCAAUACAAGGAUGUCUGGAUCCAUAGUUUCACAUGACAGAAAU